GGGCCUGUAGCUCAAUUGGCAGAGCAAUUGACUCUUAAUCAAUGGGUUUUGGGUUCAAGUCCCAACAGGCUCAC
This 74-nucleotide transfer RNA is filed under the name uncultured bacterium. RNAcentral describes it as "tRNA-Lys". It matches the Rfam family "tRNA". From Rfam's summary of the family: Transfer RNA (tRNA) molecules are approximately 80 nucleotides in length. The record is from RNAcentral.